RNAcentral lists this ribosomal RNA (489 nucleotides) under uncultured bacterium. Its description in RNAcentral is "partial 16S ribosomal RNA". It matches the Rfam family "Bacterial small subunit ribosomal RNA", at positions 29 to 507 of the family's 1533-position model. The record is from RNAcentral.
AGUGAACGCUGGCGGCAGGCCUAAUACAUGCAAGUCGAACGGCAGCACAGUGGAUCUUGCUCCAUGGGUGGCGAGUGGCGGACGGGUUAGGAAUACAUUGGAAUCUGCCCAGUCGUGGGGGAUACGUAGGGAAACUUACGCUAAUACCGCAUGCGCCCUUCGGGGGAAAGCCGGGGACCUUCGGGCCUGGCGCGAUUGGAUGAGCCCAUGUUCGAUUAGCUAGUUGGCGGGGUAAAGGCCCACCAAGGCGACGAUCGAUAGCUGGUCUGAGAGGAUGAUCAGACACACUGGGACUGAGACACGGCAGAGACUCCUACGGGAGGAAGCAGUAGGGAAUAUUGGACGAGGGGCGAAAGCGUGAUCCAGCCAUGCCGCGUGAGUGAAGAAGGACCUAGGGUUGGAAAGCUCUUUUGUCCGGGAAGAAAAGCAUCGGGCUAAUACCUCGGUGUUCUGACGGUACCGGAAGAAUAAGCACCGGCUAACUUCGUG